AUGACUGACCUUGCUCACGAGCAUUUCACGCAGAUUUUCGGAUCGGAUAAUCACAGAACUGCUGCACUGAACUGGGAUGCAUUGGACCUAGAGCAUGUGGACCUUGCUGAUCUCGAGCAGGAGCUAUCGCUUGAGGAAGUUAAGCGUGCCGUGGAUGCAAUUCCGCCAGACAAGGCACCAGGGCCGGACGGUUUCUCGGGUGCCUUCUUCAAAAUCUGUUGGGACAUUAUCAAGCUUGAUUUGCUAGCGGCGCUGAAUCAGUUAUUUAGGAUGGAUAGCCGAGGUCUAAAUCGUGUCAAUCAUGCUAUACUCGUGCUCAUUCCCAAGAAAUUGGGUGCGGAUGCUCUGCAAGACUUUAGGCCGAUUUCGUUACUCCAUAGUGUGAUCAAAAUCUUCUCGAAGAUUCUGGCCUUGCGGCUCACCCCAAAGCUCAGUGCACUUGUUGAUCAGUGUCAAAGCGCUUUCAUAAAAAAGCGAAGCAUCCAGGAAAUUUUUCUACAUGUACAGAACACUGCCAAAAAAUUUCACAAGACCAAAAAACCUGCUAUCCUCCUCAAACUGGACAUUGCCAAAGCGUUUGACUCGGUCUGA
This 591-nucleotide ribosomal RNA is filed under the name Triticum aestivum (bread wheat). Its description in RNAcentral is "partial small subunit ribosomal RNA". Lineage: Eukaryota; Viridiplantae; Streptophyta; Magnoliopsida; Poales; Poaceae. The record is from RNAcentral.